GAUUUCUGGCUUGGUGCGCGCCGUCCGCUUCCGUCAGGGAGUGUGUGCGGUUGUGCGCCUGCCAUCUUUUUAGACAUCAUGCUGUGCCCUUCACUGGGUGGCAGGUGGUGGCUGAAUCUUUUACUUUGAAAAAAUUAGAGUGUUCAAAGCAGGCUUGCGCUAUGAAUACAUUAGCAUGGAAUAAUAAUUUAGGACUGCCGUUCUAUUUUGUUGGUUUCUAGGAUGGAAGUAAUGAUUGAUAGGGAUAGUUGGGGGUGCUAGUAUUCAGAGGCCAGAGGUGAAAUUCUUGGAUUCUCUGAAGACUAACUUAUGCGAAAGCAUU
Molecule: ribosomal RNA, 322 nt
Filed under: uncultured Cercomonas
Lineage: Eukaryota; Cercozoa; Cercomonadida; Cercomonadidae
Description: SSU rRNA
Rfam family: Eukaryotic small subunit ribosomal RNA (bases 62-322)
Source: RNAcentral